Molecule: ribosomal RNA, 245 nt
Filed under: uncultured bacterium
Lineage: Bacteria
Description: partial 16S ribosomal RNA
Rfam family: Bacterial small subunit ribosomal RNA
Source: RNAcentral
UAGGGGGCGAGCGUUGUCCGGAAUGACUGGGCGUAAAGGGAGUGUAGGCGGCUUUUUAAGUUAUAUGUGAAAUCCCGCGGCUUAACCGCGGAACUGCAUAUAAAACUGGGGAGCUGGAGUGCAGUAGAGGUAAGUGGAAUUCCUAGUGUAGCGGUGGAAUGCGUAGAUAUUAGGAAGAACACCGGAGGCGAAGGCGGCUUACUGGACUGUAACUGACGCUGAGGCUCGAAAGCGUGGGGAGCAAA